AGCAGCCGCGGUAAUUCCAGCUCCAAUAGCGUAUAUUAAAGUUGUUGCAGUUAAAAAGCUCGUAGUUGAAUUUCGGGAUCAGUACGCCGGUCGUGCCUUCGGUACGUACUGGUGUCACUGAUUCCUCCCUUCUGACGAACCGUCAUGCCAUUCACUUGGUGUGGCGGGGAAUCAGGACUGUUACUUUGAAAAAAUUAGAGUGUUUAAAGCAGGCUCACGCUUGAAUACAUUAGCAUGGAAUAAUGAAAUAGGACGUUGAUCUUAUUUUGUUGGUUUCUAGGAUUGACGUAAUGAUUAAUAGGGAUAGUUGGGGGCAUUAGUAUUCAAUUGUCAGAGGUGAAAUUCUUGGAUUUAUUGAAGACUAACUACUGCGAAAGCAUUUGCCAAGGAUGUUUUCAUUAAUCAAGAACGAAAGUUAGGGGAUCGAAGACGAUCAGAUACCGUCGUAGUCUUAACCAUAAACUAUGCCGACGUAGGGAUCGGAUGUAUUGUUUAAUUUUUAAUGUACUCUAGUUCGGCGUCCGUUAACCGGG
RNAcentral lists this ribosomal RNA (533 nucleotides) under uncultured Glomus. Its description in RNAcentral is "SSU rRNA". It matches the Rfam family "Eukaryotic small subunit ribosomal RNA", at positions 569 to 1094 of the family's 1831-position model. The record is from RNAcentral. Lineage: Eukaryota; Fungi; Glomeromycota; Glomeromycetes; Glomerales; Glomeraceae.